CCUACGGGAGGCUGCAGUGGGGAAUAUUGGGCAAUGGGCGCAAGCCUGACCCAGCAACGCCGCGUGAAGGAAGAAGGCUUUCGGGUUGUAAACUUCUUUUGUCAGGGAAGAGUAGAAGACGGUACCUGACGAAUAAGCCACGGCUAACUACGUGACAGCAGCAGCGGUAAUACGUAGGUGGCAAGCGUUGUCCGGAUUUACUGGGUGUAAAGGGCGUGUAGCCGGGUUGACAAGUCAGAUGUGAAAUCCUGCGGCUUAACCGCAGAACUGCAUUUGAAACUGUUGAUCUUGAGUACUGGAGAGGCAGACGGAAGUCCUAGUGUAGCGGUGAAAUGCGUAGAUAUUAGGAGGAACACCAGUGGCGAAGGCGGUCUGCUGGACCGCAACUGACGGUGAGGCGCGAAAGCGUGGGGAGCAAACAGGAUUAGAUACCCGAGUAGUC
Molecule: ribosomal RNA, 442 nt
Filed under: uncultured bacterium
Lineage: Bacteria
Description: partial 16S ribosomal RNA
Rfam family: Bacterial small subunit ribosomal RNA
Source: RNAcentral